GUGCUGUCCCCCUCCAUGAAUGAGCUGCAGCAGGGGAAGGCCACACUCAUGUGUGUGGCCAACAAGGGCUUCCCCUCAGACUGGACUCUGUCCUGGGAGGUAGUCGGCAGCAGCAGCUGGGAGGAGAGCAGGAGCCCCGGGGUGCUGCAGAAGGACGGCCUCUACAGCUGGAGCAGCACCCUGAGGCUCUCUGCAGACCAGUGGGAGAAGGUGACCUGUCAGGCCAAGAGAGGAUCCCACCGUCCAGUCUUGGAGACACUCAGGAGAGACCAGUGCUCCCAGUCCUGAACUAAAGACUUAAAU
This is a non-coding RNA of Oryzias latipes (Japanese medaka), 303 nucleotides long. The record is from the annotation of a RefSeq genome assembly. Lineage: Eukaryota; Metazoa; Chordata; Actinopteri; Beloniformes; Adrianichthyidae.